UACGUAGGGUGCAAGCGUUGUCCGGAAUUAUUGGGCGUAAAGAGCUUGUAGGCGGUUUGUCGCGUCUGCUGUGAAAUUUCGGGGCUCAACCCCGAACUUGCAGUGGGUACGGGCAGACUAGAGUGUGGUAGGGGAGACUGGAAUUCCUGGUGUAGCGGUGAAAUGCGUAGAUAUCGGAAGGAACAUCAGUGGCGAAAGCGGCUUCCUGGACCAGUACCGACGUUCAGGCACGAAAGCGUGGGGAGCAAACAGG
This 253-nucleotide ribosomal RNA is filed under the name uncultured bacterium. RNAcentral's name for it is "partial 16S ribosomal RNA". It matches the Rfam family "Bacterial small subunit ribosomal RNA", at positions 524 to 776 of the family's 1533-position model. The record is from RNAcentral.